This 87-nucleotide transfer RNA is filed under the name Gymnopus androsaceus JB14. It matches the Rfam family "tRNA". Rfam says of the family: Transfer RNA (tRNA) molecules are approximately 80 nucleotides in length. Their secondary structure includes four short double-helical elements and three loops (D, anti-codon, and T loops). Lineage: Eukaryota; Fungi; Basidiomycota; Agaricomycetes; Agaricales; Omphalotaceae. The record is from Rfam by way of RNAcentral.
GGCCGACUAGCUCAGCUGGUUAGAGCGUCGUGCUAAUAUUCUACAUAUUGGACGCGAAGGUCUUGGGUUCGAUCCCCACGUUGGCCA